RNAcentral lists this ribosomal RNA (473 nucleotides) under uncultured bacterium. Its description in RNAcentral is "partial 16S ribosomal RNA". It matches the Rfam family "Bacterial small subunit ribosomal RNA", at positions 28 to 507 of the family's 1533-position model. The record is from RNAcentral.
GAUGAACGCUAGCGGCAGGCCUAAUACAUGCAAGUCGAACGGGUGGUCGCAAGACCACUAGUGGCGCACGGGUGCGUAACGCGUAACCAACCUGCCCCGAUCUGGGGGAUAGCCCGCCGAAAGGCGGAUUAAUACCGCAUAUACCCGCAGCCUGGCAUCAGGCAACGGGGAAAGAUUUAUUGGAUCGGGAUGGGGUUGCGUGACAUUAGCUAGUUGGCGGGGUAAGGGCCCACCAAGGCGACGAUGUCUAGGGGACCUGAGAGGGUGAUCCCCCACACUGGCACUGAGAUACGGGCCAGACGCCUACGGGAGGCAGCAGUAGGGAAUAUUGGGCAGUGAGCGAGAGCCUGACCCAGCCAGGCCGCGUGCCGGAUGAAGGCCUUCUGGGUUGUAAACGGCUUUUCUCAGGGAAGAAAAAGACCUUGCGAGGUACACUGACGGUACCUGAGGAAUAAGCACCGGCUAACUCCGUG